RNAcentral lists this RNase P RNA (410 nucleotides) under Hyphomicrobium sp. RNAcentral's name for it is "RNase P RNA component class A". It matches the Rfam family "Bacterial RNase P class A". From Rfam's summary of the family: Ribonuclease P (RNase P) is a ubiquitous endoribonuclease, found in archaea, bacteria and eukarya as well as chloroplasts and mitochondria. Its best characterised activity is the generation of mature 5'-ends of tRNAs by cleaving the 5'-leader elements of precursor-tRNAs. Cellular RNase Ps are ribonucleoproteins. Lineage: Bacteria; Pseudomonadati; Pseudomonadota; Alphaproteobacteria; Hyphomicrobiales; Hyphomicrobiaceae. The record is from RNAcentral.
UCAGUUGGCCGGACGGCCGCUGCCGGACGGGGCGUUAUGGCCCAGCAAGCGUGCGGUGGAGGAAAGUCCGGGCACCUUGGAAACAGGAUGGCGGUUAACGGCCGCCGGGGGCGACCCCAGGGAAAGUGCCACAGAGAACAGACCGCCCGAGGGCUUCGGUCCGACGGUAAGGGUGAAACGGUGCGGUAAGAGCGCACCGCGGCUCCGGUAACGGCGCCGGCACGGCAAACCCCAUCCGGUGCAAGACCAAAUAGGGAUGGCCAGCAGGUGGAGAAAUCCAGCCUGCAAGCCCGUUUCCAGGCCCGCCAUCCGGGUUGGUUGCUCGAGGCGUCCAGCAAUGGGCGUCCCAGAUGAAUGGCCGUCGCGGAGGCAACUCCAGACAGAACCCGGCUUACAGGCCAACUGAUUUU